AACGAACGCUGGCGGCAUGCCUAACACAUGCAAGUCGAACGAGACCUUCGGGUCUAGUGGCGCACGGGUGCGUAACGCGUGGAAACCUGCCCUUAGGUUCGGAAUAACUCCCCGAAAGGGGUGCUAAUACCGGAUAAUGUCUUCGGACCAAAGAUUUAUCGCCUUUGGAUGGGCCCGCGUUGGAUUAGCUAGUUGGUAGGGUAAAAGCCUACCAAGGCGACGAUCCAUAGCUGGUCUGAGAGGAUGAUCAGCCACACUGGGACUGAGACACGGCCCAGACUCCUACGGGAAGCAGCAGUGGGGAAUAUUGGACAAUGGGCGAAAGCCUGAUCCAGCAAUGCCGCGUGAGUGAUGAAGGCCUUAGGGUUGUAAAGCUCUUUUACCCGGGAUGAUAAUGACAGUACCGGGAGAAUAAGCUCCGGCUAACUCCGUG
RNAcentral lists this ribosomal RNA (433 nucleotides) under uncultured bacterium. RNAcentral describes it as "partial 16S ribosomal RNA". It matches the Rfam family "Bacterial small subunit ribosomal RNA", at positions 29 to 507 of the family's 1533-position model. The record is from RNAcentral.